This is a long non-coding RNA of Falco peregrinus (peregrine falcon), 1598 nucleotides long. RefSeq lists it as uncharacterized. The record is from RefSeq and is a predicted model, not a curated record. Lineage: Eukaryota; Metazoa; Chordata; Aves; Falconiformes; Falconidae. The transcript is spliced from 4 exons.
CCAACUGAUUUUUUUCACAGGUUAGAUUUCAGCCAGGUUGGAACAGAGCACCACUUCUGACACAGAAGACCUUUGUGGCUUGGGCAGAGAGGGAAGACAAAACUACCCCAUCCAGCAGGCCAGACUAAGAUCAAAUUAGUCCUGAAACUAUAGCUUGACACAAGAAUACCAGUCAGUGAACUAUUUUAAUUAUUAAACCAGGAAUCUUGAAAGCUUUUGUAGAAGCUUACAUAUAAACAUGCUCAUAGUGAUAUGAUACAAGAGGAGGAGAUGGAAAAUAAUGUAUCUCUAUUUAAUAUUUAUGCUCUGACCAGCCAGUGAAGUUCACAGUAAGCGAGAAUGGAUGAACGACAUGACACUGACAUGCAGCUGACAUGCAGAACAUAUUUUAUCAGGUAAAAACAAAACAAACAAAAAAAAAGGUUCUAAUUUACCUAAAAGCAUAGCAUUACCAGCCAGCUGAAGAAAUCUGAAAACCCUCUGGCUCAUGCACAAGCGCAAGACUUUUAUAAGAGUUACUCUGGAGGAGAUACUGGAGAAGAGCUCUCCAGAGAAUUUCACUUUGCACUCUGAAGACAUGGUCUGCUCAUUCUUCCACAAGACACUGUCUUUGUGGGAAAGUUUGCAGUCUGCCAACAUGUUUAGCUGACAGUUCCCGUGAUGUAAGUUCCUCUCUUUCAUGUGUACCAACCAGUGCCAAUAUCAGCACAGCUGGACGAGCUGUUCAUGCUUGUACUUGCUGAGUUACUGGAGCCAUGAACAGAGAGAGGGUUUGAAGAACACAGAAGACCAAUGAGCUCUCCAGCUGUGCUGGAGUCAUCAAUGGUACUCACGUACCCAUAGGUUUUGCUUUUCAUGUGGUGGUUCAGACAUUAAUAUGAAAGCCACCUGCAGACUUCUCUGGGAGAAAAAGGAUAUACUGUAUGGAUGAUGUUCAGUGUUAAUACCUUGACACAGAAAAGCUAUCAGUGAGAUUUCUCAAUCAAGCAUUCUCUCUGGUGACUAGCUUCUCUGUAGUUACUCUUCCACAGGAUACUUGGGAGAAGACAGUUUAAUUACACUUCAGACAUGCUGCAUGGUUGCUUUGUAUGCUUAGGAUCAAGACCAUUUGUACUGGACAUUUGUACAAAAUGAUAAAAGUGAAAACAUGUAUGUGCAAUGGCCCAGCCAGGUGCCAGUAAAGCCUCCCACCCACCUAGCUCUCCAAACAGCUCAUACACCCUGCUUCAACAUCUAAUUAAACUGCACAGAGUGCUGCACUAAGGCAGCUAUGCUCCUUCUGGCAACCAAGCUUUUAUAGUUUGGUCAGGUAUUUUUGCAGUACACUGACGUGCAGACCUAAUCGAGGCGACUGUUAUUGCUGGGCAAACAAGGGAAACAAAAUGAUGGCUUUUAUAGUUGUAAGCUUACACAUUGGACUGACAUGCAUGUGAAAAAAAAGGAAAUGUGUGACUCUGCACGUGAAUUAUUUACAGCUCCAAUGUGAUUACAAAAGAGGUAGGUUUUUUUUUUGUUAAAAGCCGUGUGAUGUUAUCUUCUUUCUCAAAUACCUCUGCUAACUUGAAGGUUCCAAUAAACAAAGUAACUGUUUUCUGGCA